Molecule: ribosomal RNA, 253 nt
Filed under: uncultured bacterium
Lineage: Bacteria
Description: partial 16S ribosomal RNA
Rfam family: Bacterial small subunit ribosomal RNA
Source: RNAcentral
UACGGAGGGUGCAAGCGUUGUUCGGAAUUACUGGGCGUAAAGGGCUCGUAGGCGGCCAACUAAGUCAGACGUGAAAUCCCUCGGCUUAACCGGGGAACUGCGUCUGAUACUGGAUGGCUUGAAUCCGGGAGAGGGAUGCGGAAUUCCAGGUGUAGCGGUGAAAUGCGUAGAUAUCUGGAGGAACACCGGUGGCGAAGGCGGCAUCCUGGACCGGCAUUGACGCUGAGGAGCGAAAGCCAGGGGAGCAAACGGG